RNAcentral lists this ribosomal RNA (403 nucleotides) under uncultured bacterium. Its description in RNAcentral is "bacterial SSU rRNA". It matches the Rfam family "Bacterial small subunit ribosomal RNA", at positions 355 to 775 of the family's 1533-position model. The record is from RNAcentral.
UAGGGAAUAUUAGUAAUGGGCGAAAGCCUGAACUAGCAACGCCGCGUGUGCGAAGAAGGCCUUCGGGUUGUAAAGCACUUUUUGAGAGGAUGAGGAAGGACGGUACUCUCAGAACAAGUCUCGGCUAACUACGUGCCAGCAGCCGCGGUAACACGUAGGAGGCGAACGUUAUCCGGAUUUACUGGGUGUAAAGCGCGUGUAGGUGGUUUGGUAAGUAGGGCGUGAAAGCUCCUGGCUCAACUGGGAGAGGCCGUUCUAAACUGCCGAACUAGAGGAUGGUAGAGGGAGGUGGAAUUCCGGGUGUAGCGGUGGAAUGCGCAGAUAUCCGGAGGAACACCAGUGGCGAAAGCGGCCUCCUGGACCAUUCCUGACACCCAGACGCGAAAGCUAGGGUAGCAAACGG